GUCAAUGGACGAGAGUCUGAACCAGCCAAGUAGCGUGAAGGAUGACUGCCCUAUGGGUUGUAAACUUCUUUUAUAUGGGAAUAAAACGUUUCACGUGUGGGAUUUUGUAUGUACCAUAUGAAUAAGGAUCGGCUAACUCCGUGCCAGCAGCCGCGGUAAUACGGAGGAUCCGAGCGUUAUCCGGAUUUAUUGGGUUUAAAGGGAGCGUAGGUGGAUUGUUAAGUCAGUUGUGAAAGUUUGCGGCUCAACCGUAAAAUUGCAGUUGAAACUGGCAGUCUUGAGUACAGUAGAGGUGGGCGGAAUUCGUGGUGUAGCGGUGAAAUGCUUAGAUAUCACGAAGAACUCCGAUUGCGAAGGCAGCUCACUGGACUGCAACUGACACUGAGGCUCGAAAG
This 395-nucleotide ribosomal RNA is filed under the name uncultured bacterium. RNAcentral's name for it is "bacterial SSU rRNA". It matches the Rfam family "Bacterial small subunit ribosomal RNA", at positions 367 to 759 of the family's 1533-position model. The record is from RNAcentral.